This 1522-nucleotide ribosomal RNA is filed under the name Polystoma sp. TJ-2008. Its description in RNAcentral is "SSU rRNA". It matches the Rfam family "Eukaryotic small subunit ribosomal RNA", at positions 42 to 1331 of the family's 1831-position model. Lineage: Eukaryota; Metazoa; Platyhelminthes; Monogenea; Polystomatidea; Polystomatidae. The record is from RNAcentral.
GAUUAGCCAUGCAUGCCUAAGUCUUGGCUCUAGUACAGUGAAACCACGAAUGGCUCAUUAAAUCAGCUAUUGUUCAUUAGAUCAUAACCGUUACAUGGAUAACUGUAGUAAUUCUAGAGCUAAUACAUGCCUCGAUGCCGUGACCCGUAAGGGGAUCGGUGCACUUAUUAGAACAAGACCAACCAGGUAGCUAGACUUAAUUGUUUAGUGGCCUGUUGUGUCGUGUUGACUCUGGAUAAUUACGACAGAUCGCAGUCGACCUUUGUUGUCGGCGACAAUUCUUUCAAAUGUCUGCCCUAUCAACUUACGAUGGUAGGCGACCUGCCUACCAUGGUGAUAACGGGUAACGGGGAAUCAGGGUUCGAUUCCGGAGAGGGAGCCUGAGAAACGGCUACCACAUCCAAGGAAGGCAGCAGGCGCGCAAAUUACCCACUCCCGGCACGGGGAGGUAGUGACGAAAAAUAACGAUGCGGGACUCCUACGAGGCUCCGUAAUCGGAAUGAGAACACUCUAAAUCCUUUAACGAGGACCAAUUGGAGGGCAAGUCUGGUGCCAGCAGCCGCGGUAACUCCAGCUCCAAUAGCGUAUAUUAAAGUUGCUGCAGUUAAAAAGCUCGUAGUUGGAUCUUGACGGCAUUACUGCGUGUUUGGGUUUCAUUGUUUUGCUUAUGUCAUGUAUCUGCAUGCAUAUAGUGUAAAAGUAUGUGUGUGUACGAUAUAAUGGUUCUGGGCACAGUGUACCCAACUCGUCGGUGGUGAAGUCUUUCAGCCGUGUCUGUUUUCUUUACAUUUUGUGUACUUUUCACAUUAAUUUGUGCAUUAGUACUACAGAUUGUAUAAGGUGCAGGUGCUGAUAGUUGGAAUUUUGGGUUUUUCCCAGCCUUCUGUUGGUACGCCUCGUGAUGCUCUUAACUGAGCCGUCGCGAGUGUGGACGGCAUGUUUACUUUGAACAAAUUUGAGUGCUCAAAGCAGGCCUACGUGCCUGAAAAGUCUUGCAUGGAAUAAUGGAAUAGGACUUCGGUUCUAUUUUGUUGGUUUUCGGUUCCGAAGUAAUGGUUAAGAGAGACAGACGGGGGCAUUUGUAUGGCGGUGUUAGAGGUGAAAUUCUUGGAUCGCCGCCAGACAAUCUGAAGCGAAAGCAUUUGCCAGGAAUGUUUUCAUUGACAAAGAGCGAAAGUCAGAGGUUCGAAGACGAUCAGAUACCGUCCUAGUUCUGACCAUAAACGAUGCCAACUGACGAUCCGCGGUGGUAGUACAUAUCGUCCCCGCGGGCAGUCUCCGGGAAACCUGUAAGUCUUUGGGUUCCGGGGGAAGUAUGGUUGCAAAGCUGAAACUUAAAGGAAUUGACGGAAGGGCACCACCAGGAGUGGAGCCUGCGGCUUAAUUUGACUCAACACGGGAAAACUCACCCGGCCCGGACACUGUGAGGAUUGACAGAUUGACAGCUCUUUCUUGAUCCAGUGGUUGGUGGUGCAUGGCCGUUCUUAGUUGGUGGAGCGAUUUGUCUGGUUAAUCCCGAUUA